GGAGAAAAACUAUAAGAAAAGGAACCCUCUUCUCUUCCUCACCCUCACCCUCACAGCCGCGGACGCUCUCUGAACAGCCUCCGAGGACGUACAAACGGCUUUACUAACAGUCCUUGUUCCGGCGAUUUCAGGCCUACGGUACCAUCCUGAGUUUGGCGGCGUCUUCUGAUUCACGGCAGCUGCUCUUCCUUCAUGUGAGCUGGAACUUUAGCUUGGAUUGGAGGACCAGGGCCGUUUGCAUCUGUAGUAGUUGGAAGUUCUAUUUGUGGUAGUUAAUUGACUUUGGGAUAAAGCUUUUGAGCAUACAAUUUUAGUCAGUUUCAAGGUCAGGAUAUGAUCCAUGCUUGCUUCCACAUUCUAUAAGCCAUUGAGUUUUGGAGUAGUAACAACUAGAAUAUCCUCGAGUUUUCUGCUAAAAGUUCCGUAUAAUAAUUUUAUCCAGAAGAUCCAAAUGGGAACUAAUCAGAACUCUGUCGUCAGAAGUUGCAGCAGUAACUCUAGAGGAGCCUUGGUGGUUCUAGAAGGGUUGGACCGAUGUGGGAAGACUACACAGUCCGGUAGAUUAGUCCAGUACUUACAAGGACUUGGCCAUUCUGUUGAACUAUGGCGGUUUCCUGAUAGAACAACUAAUGUUGGACAGAUGAUAUCUUCCUAUCUUUCUAACGAAUCACAGCUGGAUGACCACACAAUACAUCUUCUUUUCAGUGCUAACCGAUGGGAGAAGAGAUCCUUAAUGGAAACUAAGUUAAAAGGUGGAACCACUCUUAUUCUUGAUCGGUAUUCUUACUCAGGGGUGGCCUUUUCGUGUGCCAAAGGACUUGGCUUUGAAUGGUGUAAGGCACCGGAGGUUGGCUUGCUAGCUCCAGACCUCGUACUGUACCUAGACAUAUCUCCAGAGACAGCUGCAGAAAGAGGAGGUUAUGGAUGUGAGAGAUACGAGCAGAUUGAGUUCCAGACCAAAGUUGCUAAGUGCUAUCAAGUUUUGGUUGAUUCUAAAUGGGAGAUUAUUGAUGCUUGCCGACCCAUGGAAGAUAUUGAGAAAGAACUACAAGACAUUGUCCUGGACCGUGUCAAGAAAUGCCAAAAUGGGGAACCUCUUUCCCAUCUUUGGCCAAGUUGAUGCAAUCUUCUGAAGACAGUUUUUUUUUUCUUCGUACCCUGUUUUCAUUUCAAAUUUGUUCAGAACUUGGGCUCAUCUUGCGUGGUUUAUGCUUCUUUGAACAUUCAUAUAAGUUUAAUUCAGCAUUCCUUUCUCAACAAGUUUUAAUUUUUAAGCAUUAUAAAGAUUAUGAAGCAAUAUGUAAUUAUUGUCAGGAAAGGUCAAUCAUGACACUUCUAUAAAACUUCCCAUCACCUCGCAUUGGCCUACACCAUCUACAGAAUAUAUUACGUUUUUUUUUUUUUUUUUUAAAAGAAAAGUUAUUUAUUAGAGCAAGGCUAAUUUUUUUUUUCUUGUUUUGAACACUUUGAUAGGUUAAAGAUUGUAGAAGCUUUAUGCUUUAUAGACUGCCAUCCAUAGUGUAAUCAUCCAGGGUACAGACAUUACAGAACUCUUAAGAUAGUCAAAAACUCUUAUGGUCUACAUAGUUGAUGGCUUGGGGGCUAGUUGCUGCAUUUCAAAAAGGAGUCAGCUCCUUAGAUGGCGAUAGAAUCAUGGAGAUGUGAAGGGUGGUUCAGGGGGGAGUGGCACCAAUGGCUCACUAAAACCAGUAUCUGGUGCUGGCGGUGCAGACACAAAGGGCAAUGGUUCCUUUGGAAAAUCUGGAACUUCAGGAACCAGGGGAGGCGAAAGAAAUGUUCUAGGAGGCUGUGGAAUUGUGAAAGGUGGCGGUUUGGUUGGGAUUGAUACCAGUGGUGGAGGAAGAAAUAUAGGGAUGAACGGUGGUUGAUCUGGUGUGAAUUGAAUGGGAGGUGGCAGAUCAGGCACUGGUGGAGGCAGUAAAAAUUCUGGCAGAGGAGGUGAGAACGUUAUUAAAGGUGGAGUAGAUAGUAGUGGUGGUGGUGAAGAAACUAGAGGUGGUGGAAACCAGAUUGAAGGUGUUGGAGUAGAUGAUAAUGGUGGUGGUGAAGGCACCAAUGGUGGUGGAAUCAUUUCUGAAGGAGUUGGAGUAGAUAGCAGCGGCGGUGGCGGUGAAGGAACCAAGGGUGUUGGUGGAGAUGGAGUUUCAGGUGAAGCCAAGGGCGGUGGUGGUGAUGCAGGAAGGGGAGGUGGAGAAGGAACUAUGGGGGCAGGCUGAUAAACUGGAGGAGGAGAAGAAACUAAAGGGGGCAGAGGAGGUAUUGAGGGUGCCAAAAAUGGGUUGUCUGAAGGGUAGAUUGGGAAAGGCCACUGACCACAAGCUCCAAAUAAGUAUUGGUAAAAUGGAUCACAGUCAGAUCCUCUUCUUCCUCUGCUUCUGCUUCUGCUUCUAGUUCUCUUUUCUUCAUCUUUCCACCCUUUUCUUUCAUGUUGAUUUUGCUUGUUUUCAGUAUCUGCUUCUACAAGUACUUGGGAGAUCAACAGCAGAGCUAAAACUAUUGCUAUUACUAUUUUUCAAAGAGCGGAAGUGGUGGAAGGAUUUGAAUGCAGCAGCAGUGUGAAUUAAUAUACACAACGCUCAAUGCUGAGAGGAGUGGAAAGCAAGGAAAUGCUACCUUCAAAUUUGUGACUUCCAAUGCCAAUUUAUGUAAGUAGUCUAUAAAUACCUCUCUCUGAGUAGUUGAAAGUUGAUAGAAAGCUUCUCCUUCUCUCUCUCUUGAGUAGUUGAAAAACUUGCAAGAUAGAAAGAAAGAAGGCAAGUCUACUCUAUCAUUUAUGGUGAUUUGGACUUUGAUAUUUUGUAUAGCUGAACAAAAGGAAGGCAUGUCUGCAUUGUAUUUAA
Benincasa hispida (wax gourd) is the source of this 2861-nucleotide non-coding RNA. Lineage: Eukaryota; Viridiplantae; Streptophyta; Magnoliopsida; Cucurbitales; Cucurbitaceae. The record is from RefSeq and is a predicted model, not a curated record.